CCUACGGGUGGCAGCAGUGGGGAAUAUUGCACAAUGGGGGAAACCCUGAUGCAGCGACGCCGCGUGAGUGAAGAAGUAUUUCGGUAUGUAAAGCUCUAUCAGCAGGAACGAGACAAGACGGUACCUGACUAAGAAGCCCCGGCUAACUACGUGCCAGCAGCCGCGGUAAUACGUAGGGGGCAAGCGUUAUCCGGAAUCACUGGGUGUAAAGGGAGCGUAGACGGCUGAGCAAGCCUGAAGUGAAAGGCGGGGGCCCAACCCCCGGACUGCUUUGGGAACUGUACGGCUGGAGUGCAGGAGAGGUAAGUGGAAUUCCUAGUGUAGCGGUGAAAUGCGUAGAUAUCAGGAGGAACACCGGCGGCGAAGGCGGCCUGCUGGACCGCGACUGACGUUGAGGCUCGAAAGCGUGGGGAGCGAACAGGAUUAGAUACCCCUGUAGUC
This 441-nucleotide ribosomal RNA is filed under the name uncultured bacterium. RNAcentral's name for it is "partial 16S ribosomal RNA". It matches the Rfam family "Bacterial small subunit ribosomal RNA", at positions 338 to 795 of the family's 1533-position model. The record is from RNAcentral.